Molecule: long non-coding RNA, 583 nt
Organism: Papilio xuthus (Asian swallowtail)
Lineage: Eukaryota; Metazoa; Arthropoda; Insecta; Lepidoptera; Papilionidae
Exons: 3
Source: RefSeq, a predicted model, not a curated record
UUUAAUUUUUUUAAUUUACAAUAUCUUUUUGUUAUUUUUUCUUUCGUUUAAUUCUAAACAUUAAGUUGUAUUCAAUAUGAUGGUACUAAUUCUAGAGACUAAGCAGUCUACAGCAAAGAGAUCUAAGAUCUCGGGUUACUUUCAAUCUAGUAAUAUUAACCAUUAAAGAAUUAAUUUGUUGAGCUUAGGCUUUCUACGAGUCCUUAUGUAGCCUUAUGUUUUCCUGAGGUUGCUGAGAUGCCACGAGUAGUUUCUGGCACAAAUAAUAAGUAUAAAAAUUAUUGUGACCUGUUUGUAACUGUCAUAACUCAUAUAACAUACUAGAAUCCAAAAGUAAAAGACAAAACCAACCGUCCUAUAAUUGAUAUGCUUAACCUUCAUAAGGGCUAUGUUACAGUAUCCUGUUUAACAAGAAUUCAUCAGUUACACCAUUCUUUGAUGCUAAUUGAAGAACUCUAGGCAAGAAUGGCAAUCGAACGAUUUCUAUGAAAAGUAUGAAGAGACAUGGAGAGAACAUUAUAUUAUUACUAACUGUCGCCCGCGACUCCGUCCGCGCGGGAUUAAACAUAGAUGUUAGACGAUU